AAGCCGACGGCUAGUGCAACAGAAAAUAUACCGCCGAACGAUAGGGCGUCAGAAAUGGCGUCAUGUGCGUGGUAAGGUUGAAAUGGUGGGGUAAGAGCCCACCGCCUGCGGGGCUAACGUCGCAGGGCAAGGUAAACCCCACUUGGAGCAAGACCAAAUAGGCAUGCUAUGAAUUGGCUCGAUUCGCAUGCGGGUGCGUUGCUUGAGCUUUGUAGCGAUGCAAAGCCUAGAUGAAUGGUUGUCCACGACAGAACCCGGCUUAUCGACCAGCUCCGCCA
RNAcentral lists this RNase P RNA (278 nucleotides) under Arenimonas sp. Its description in RNAcentral is "partial RNase P RNA component class A". It matches the Rfam family "Bacterial RNase P class A", at positions 96 to 367 of the family's 367-position model. Rfam says of the family: Ribonuclease P (RNase P) is a ubiquitous endoribonuclease, found in archaea, bacteria and eukarya as well as chloroplasts and mitochondria. Its best characterised activity is the generation of mature 5'-ends of tRNAs by cleaving the 5'-leader elements of precursor-tRNAs. The record is from RNAcentral. Lineage: Bacteria; Pseudomonadati; Pseudomonadota; Gammaproteobacteria; Lysobacterales; Lysobacteraceae.